GACGAACGCUGGCGGCGUGCCUAAUACAUGCAAGUAGGACGCAGUUGCGAACGGGUGAGUAACGCGUAGGUAACUGCCUCUUAGAGGGGGAUAACUAUUGGAAACGAUAGCUAAUACCGCAUACUCGUAGAUGGACCUGCGUUGUAGUAGGUAUUAGGUAGGGUAAUGGCCUACCUAGGCAACGAUACAUAGCCGACCUGAGAUGGGGAUCGGCCACACUGAGACUGAGACACGGCCCAGACUCCUAAGGGAGGCAGCAAUUGGGAAUCUUCGGCACUGGGGGGAACCCUGAACGAGCAACGCCGCGUGAGUGAAGAAGUUUUUCGGAUCGUAAAGUUCUGUUGUUAAGGAAGCGGUACUUAACCAGAAAGGGACGGCUAACUACGUGCCAGCAGCCGCGGUAAUUC
RNAcentral lists this ribosomal RNA (407 nucleotides) under uncultured bacterium. RNAcentral's name for it is "partial 16S ribosomal RNA". It matches the Rfam family "Bacterial small subunit ribosomal RNA", at positions 28 to 526 of the family's 1533-position model. The record is from RNAcentral.